This is a non-coding RNA of Peromyscus maniculatus bairdii (prairie deer mouse), 1454 nucleotides long. Lineage: Eukaryota; Metazoa; Chordata; Mammalia; Rodentia; Cricetidae. The record is from RefSeq and is a predicted model, not a curated record.
UUGCGCAAGACCAAUGGACACCCUCCCCUGUCACUGUCCGCCCUCACCGGCUUGGAACUCACCAAACAGGCUAGGCUAACUGGCCAGGAGACCCCAGGGAAUCCUCUUUUUUUCCCAACCUCCCCACCGCUGAGAAUACAAACGCACACGGCCCACUUUUUUAGGUGGGUCCUGGGAUCUAACUCGGGUCCUCCAAAGAGUUAAUAGAGAGAAGACGCUGGUGGCUGGAUCCUCCAUCUCCAUUUCCUCAGCCCGUGGGGGAGACGGUGUUGGUCCACAGCAGGCUUUCUUGGUUCAGCUGGCCUUGGCACUCUGGAGAGGGAACCCUGUGCCCCAGGAACCUGUUGGUCCAAAACAACUGAGAGAUAUGUAGACAAGAUCUUUUCCCAGCGUGGUGUUCCAGCCAAGCAUCCCUGGGUCCUGAGCUGGAAGGGUUGAGGUUCUGUGGUCCUGGAAUGUUUCUGAAAUCCUCCUCCUGUCCCAUGUGGGAUUGAGCCAAGAGUACCCACCCACACUCUGAGGGCUGCCUGGGCUUGGUCCAGUCCAUACCCACCUGCUGCGGUCCACCCUGAGAUCUCUACACCGGCUGCAGCUCAUCCUCCGGCUUCUUCUUCCGAGUGCCUUCCACGAAGAAGAAGUCCAUGUGCGUGAGGGCUCUCCCCAGGGGCGUGUCCACCCUGCUGCCCACCUCCUGGCUCGUGGAGCUGGGGAGUGUGUCUGAGAAGAAGGGGACAUCUGCAGGCAGCUCCUCUGGCUCCUUCUUAUUUCCCUGAGGAGAGGAGACAUCUCAGGUCACGGGCGCCGUGGGAAACGAAGAACCUGUGCACUGUGUUUGAGGCGUUCUUUGGAUGCUCACAUCCUGGUUUGGAGCUGGAAACCAGAAUGGGAGCUAGAAAGGGUCUUGACAACAUCCACUUCGGGCAGGGUGGAGUGUCGACUGGAGAUGCAGACUCAGAGCGUUUACUCAAGUCCCUUCUCCUCAGGGCACUUGGGGCACACAUUCCUCCGAGAUGAGCAGACUCCUCAACUAGGCAAGAAGUCUCAGCGGCAAAUGAGCCACUUGGUUUUGUUGUUUUGUUUUUGACACAAGGCCUCACUCGGCAGCCUUGGCUGGCUUACUACUUGCUGUAAGGAACAGGCUGGUCCGGACAAUACAGAGAUGCGCCUGCCUCUGCCUCUCCCAGAGUGCUGGGAGUAAAUGUGUACGGGUACCGGCUCCUGGUUUAUUUUUAGUGAAACUCGGAGGGCUGGAGAGGUGGUUUAGCCUCUGAACAUCAAGCGUCCAGUUCUCAGCACCCACAUCAUGAACAAUCAUCCCUCCAGCUUCCCCUUUCUCUCCUAUAACUGCAUAUACAAACAUACACAUAGAAAUACGCUCACACAGACAUACCAAAAAAGUGUGUGAGUGUGUGUGUGUGUGUGUGUGUGAUAUCUUUAAUAAAAUCAACAAACUG